Molecule: ribosomal RNA, 504 nt
Filed under: uncultured bacterium
Lineage: Bacteria
Description: partial 16S ribosomal RNA
Rfam family: Bacterial small subunit ribosomal RNA
Source: RNAcentral
GACGAACGCUGGCGGCGUGCCUAAUACAUGCAAGUCGAACGCACAGUUCAUACCGUAGCUUGCUCCAGCAUAGACUGUGAGUUGCGAACCGGUUAGUAACGCGUAGGCAACCUGCCUGGUAGCGGGGGAUCACUAAUGGUAACGAUAGCUAAUACCGAACAAUAUUAAUUAUUGCCUGAUAAUUAAUUCAAAUUUGCAAUGGCACAACUAACCGAGGGACCUGCGUUGUUUUAGCUAGUAGGGGAGGUAACGGACCACCGAGGCGACUAUACAUAGCCGAUCUGAGGGGGAGAUCGCCCACACUGGGACUGAGACACGGCCCAGACUCCUGGGGGGGGCAGCAGCAGGGAAUCUUCGGCGAUGGACGAAAGUCUGACCGAGCAACGCCGCGUGAGUGAAGAAGGUUUUCGGAUCGUAAAGCUCUGUUGGAAGAGAAGAACGGGUGUGAGUGUGGAAAGGACACACUGUGACGGUAUCGGACCAGAAGCGGAGGGCUAACUACGU